Paramisgurnus dabryanus is the source of this 504-nucleotide long non-coding RNA. RefSeq lists it as uncharacterized. Lineage: Eukaryota; Metazoa; Chordata; Actinopteri; Cypriniformes; Cobitidae. The record is from RefSeq and is a predicted model, not a curated record.
UUGUCGACGUCAAACGAAACCCUCGUCGUAAUCGACCUUUUUCCAAAGUCUGGAAAAAGCAGUUUACAUUAACAACUUCGAGAUAAAAUUCGACUAUCGGACUAUCACGUGGGUUUGUUGUGUGUGUUACUGAAGCGCCAUUUGGAAGGCAUCGUAAGUUCACUGACUACGUAAUAGAUGAGACUGUUACUCGCGAAAAGAAGUCGAAUUUGUUCAUCCAGCUUCGUACUUAAACUCGUAAACUAUCUUUAUGGAUUAUGAAAAUACUUAAUGCAGUGUAAAAACUGCAAAUUCAGCAGUUCGAGUGAAGACGUCCUUCUAAAGCACUAUCGGCUGCAUCACCCAAGCAUUUCCAGCUGGCCUUGUAUUCAUACUGGGUGUGUUUGUGUCUUCAGGACAGCAGGCUUAGAGACCGAGUCCUUGUGACCCUGAGGAUAUACCUGCACCAUUAAACUUGCCUGAUGGCUUUACUACUGCGAGUUGUCAUUUCUACAACUGAUGCCC